GCAUAUCAAUAAGCGGAGGAAAAGAAACCAACAGGGAUUGCCUCAGUAACGGCGAGUGAAGCGGCAACAGCUCAAAUUUGAAAUCUGGCCUCCUUGCGGGGUCCGAGUUGUAAUUUGCAGAGGAUGCUUCGGGUGCGGCCGCGGCGUAAGUCCCCUGGAACGGGGCGUCGCAGAGGGUGAGAAUCCCGUCUUGAGUCGCUGGACCCGCGCCCGUGUGAAGCUCCUUCGACGAGUCGAGUUGUUUGGGAAUGCAGCUCUAAAUGGGUGGUAAAUUUCAUCUAAAGCUAAAUACUGGCUGGAGACCGAUAGCGCACAAGUAGAGUGAUCGAAAGGUUAAAAGCACCUUGAAAAGGGAGUUAAAUAGCACGUGAAAUUGUUGAAAGGGAAGCGCUUGCGACCAGACUCGGCCGCGGAGGCUCAGCGGGCAUUCGUGCCCGUGCACUCCCCCGCGGCCGGGCCAGCAUCAGCUCUGGCAGCCGGUCAAAGGCCCCUGGAAUGUGUCGCCCUCCGGGGCGUCUUAUAGCCAGGGGUGCAAUGCGGCUCGCCGGGGCUGAGGAACGCGCUUCGGCUCGGAUGCUGGCGUAAUGGUCGUAAGCGACCCGUCUUGAAACACGGACC
RNAcentral lists this ribosomal RNA (618 nucleotides) under Gymnoascoideus petalosporus. RNAcentral describes it as "LSU rRNA". It matches the Rfam family "Eukaryotic large subunit ribosomal RNA", at positions 38 to 667 of the family's 3401-position model. The record is from RNAcentral. Lineage: Eukaryota; Fungi; Ascomycota; Eurotiomycetes; Onygenales; Gymnoascaceae.